GAGUUUGAUCCUGGCUCAGAACGAACGCUGGCGGCAUGCCUAACACAUGCAAGUCGAACGAGACCUUCGGGUCUAGUGGCGCACGGGUGCGUAACGCGUGGGAAUCUGCCCUUGGGUUCGGAAUAACACAGAGUAAAUUUGUGCUAAUACCGGAUGAUGUCUUCGGACCAAAGUAUUUAUCGCCCAAGGAUGAGCCCGCGUAGGAUUAGGUAGUUGGGUGGGGUAAUGGCCCACCAAGCCGACGAUCCUUAGCUGGUCUGAGAGGAUGAUCAGCCACACUGGGACUGAGACACGGCCCAGACUCCUACGGGAGGCAGCAGUGGGGAAUAUUGGACAAUGGGGGCAACCCUGAUCCAGCAAUGCCGCGUGUGUGAAGAAGGCCUUCGGUU
RNAcentral lists this ribosomal RNA (389 nucleotides) under uncultured Alphaproteobacteria bacterium. RNAcentral describes it as "bacterial SSU rRNA". It matches the Rfam family "Bacterial small subunit ribosomal RNA", at positions 9 to 423 of the family's 1533-position model. The record is from RNAcentral. Lineage: Bacteria; Pseudomonadati; Pseudomonadota; Alphaproteobacteria.